RNAcentral lists this long non-coding RNA (406 nucleotides) under Phoenix dactylifera (date palm). Its description in RNAcentral is "long non-coding RNA (PDAC_LNC002110)". The record is from RNAcentral. Lineage: Eukaryota; Viridiplantae; Streptophyta; Magnoliopsida; Arecales; Arecaceae.
GUUCCGAACUAAAAAAGGGACAGAUGGCAAUAGGUUAUACUAUCUUGAUCCUUGAAGAUUUUCACUACUACGAUACCACCUUUUCAGGAAAGGAAGGGGUGACUAAGACCUGCAAACUAUAUACUACGAAAUAGGAAUAAAAAUACUAAGGAUAAAUUGACAGAUAAACUAAUAAAUGGAACUUGUAAUUGACUCAAUUGGUGAUUGCUUGCCUUUCUUAGGACUACAAUUUCACACUUAUAAAUAUUCUCCUUAACUACUAGAUAGUUGUCUUCUUCUAGUACCAACACCUAUUCUUACUGGCAACUGCUACUCCAUCCACUCUCUUUUGACAGUUGUCGUAGUUGGUUUUAUCCACAUCUCUACUUUUCACACUCGAUCUUUUAGCAAUUGCUUCUACCUCUCA